This 660-nucleotide unclassified non-coding RNA is filed under the name Hevea brasiliensis (rubber tree). Lineage: Eukaryota; Viridiplantae; Streptophyta; Magnoliopsida; Malpighiales; Euphorbiaceae. The record is from RNAcentral.
GGUAAUUCUCAUAAUUAGAUAUCUCACUAACAAGACACAUAUAUAAUAUCAUCCUAAAGCUUUGUUCAAGGAGCAUUACAACAUAAUUAACUCAAGAAACCUUAGUUUCACCUGAACAACCUGCAACUGAUUUUUCACAUCAUACAAUUAUGUCAAACUUUAAAGGAUGAGAAACAAAUAGACUCAAACAUGGACCGUUACUACGUUGAUCUGGAAUUGCAUAGUACAUAGCCAGAUAUGAGUGAGCUGAAGGCCAAAGCCGCAAAUGAAAGGAAGGACAAUGCUACAGAGGCGCUUGCCAUAUCAGGAAAUUUGUCCUUGCCCCAAUUGGACUGCCAAUCAUCAAUGCGAGUGGCAGCAGAAGAUGAUGCUGAUAUCAGAAGAUAUGUUACCACCUGAUCUAGGGCAAAAUCAAACAUGUAGCGCAAAUGAUGUUGCACGAUGUUCUUGCCGGUGGCAGAUUGGUAGGCUAAAUCGAAUGCCUGAGCUGCUGAAUACACAAAUCCAAUGACAUUCACUGACAUACAGUACCUGCAUCCACAUAACAAGAAAUGCAUAUCAAAUCUAAAAAUAUUUCUUUUCAUCUCUGCAACUUGUACAAGUCCAAGAUAAACGACUCAUCACUGAAGUAAUAACAUACCUGAACUCCUUGUAGCGAUG